UACUCCUACGGGAGGCAGCAGUGGGGAAUUUUGGACAAUGGGCGAAAGCCUGAUCCAGCAAUGCCGCGUGUGUGAAGAAGGCCUUCGGGUUGUAAAGCACUUUUGUCCGGAAAGAAAUCCUUGGCUCUAAUACAGUCGGGGGAUGACGGUACCGGAAGAAUAAGCACCGGCUAACUACGUACCAGCAGCCGCGGUAAUACGUAGGGUGCAAGCGUUAAUCGGAAUUACUGGGCGUAAAGCGUGCGCAGGCGGUUUGCUAAGACCGAUGUGAAAUCCCCGGGCUCAACCUGGGAACUGCAUUGGUGACUGGCAGGCUAGAGUAUGGCAGAGGGGGGUAGAAUUCCACGUGUAGCAGUGAAAUGCGUAGAGAUGUGGAGGAAUACCGAUGGCGAAGGCAGCCCCCUGGGCCAAUACUGACGCUCAUGCACGAAAGCGUGGGGAGCAAACAGGAUUAGAUACCCUGGUAGUCCACGCCCUAAACGAUGUCAACUAGUUGUUGGGGAUUCAUUUCCUUAGUAACGUAGCUAACGCGUGAAGUUGACCGCCUGGGGAGUACGGUCGCAAGAUUAAAACUCAAAGGAAUUGACGG
This 589-nucleotide ribosomal RNA is filed under the name uncultured bacterium. RNAcentral's name for it is "bacterial SSU rRNA". It matches the Rfam family "Bacterial small subunit ribosomal RNA", at positions 334 to 916 of the family's 1533-position model. The record is from RNAcentral.